This 497-nucleotide ribosomal RNA is filed under the name uncultured bacterium. RNAcentral describes it as "partial 16S ribosomal RNA". It matches the Rfam family "Bacterial small subunit ribosomal RNA", at positions 28 to 507 of the family's 1533-position model. The record is from RNAcentral.
GAUGAACGCUGGCGGCGUGCCUAAUACAUGCAAGUCGAGCGAACGGACGAGAAGCUUGCUUCUCUGAUGUUAGCGGCGGACGGGUGAGUAACACGUGGAUAACCUACCUAUAAGACUGGGAUAACUUCGGGAAACCGGAGCUAAUACCGGAUAAUAUUUUGAACCGCAUGGUUCAAAAGUGAAAGACGGUCUUGCUGUCACUUAUAGAUGGAUCCGCGCUGCAUUAGCUAGUUGGUAAGGUAACGGCUUACCAAGGCAACGAUGCAUAGCCGACCUGAGAGGGUGAUCCGCCACACUGGAACUGAGACACGGUACAGACUCCUAAGGGAGGCAGCAGUAGGGAAUCUUUCGCAAUGGGCGAAAGCCUGACGGAGCAAAGCCGCGUGAGGGAUGAAGGUCUUCGGAUCGUAAAACUCUGUUAUUAGGGAAGAAAAUAUGUGUAAGUAACUGUGCACAUCUUGACGGUACCUAAUCAGAAAGCCACGGCUAACUACGUG